This 67-nucleotide transfer RNA is filed under the name Imerinia grandidieri. RNAcentral's name for it is "tRNA-Ile". Lineage: Eukaryota; Metazoa; Mollusca; Gastropoda; Systellommatophora; Veronicellidae. The record is from RNAcentral.
UAACAGCCGCCGGACAAGAGCGGGAAUCAUUGAUGUUGAUUUAUAUGAGACAAAAUCUCGCUGUUUA